This 503-nucleotide ribosomal RNA is filed under the name uncultured bacterium. Its description in RNAcentral is "partial 16S ribosomal RNA". It matches the Rfam family "Bacterial small subunit ribosomal RNA", at positions 30 to 523 of the family's 1533-position model. The record is from RNAcentral.
AUUGAGCGCUGGCGGCAGGCUUAACACAUGCAAGUCGAGCGGGGUGAUGGUGCUUGCACUAUCACUUAGCGGCGGACGGGUGAGCAAUGCUUAGGAAUCUGCCUAUUAGUGGGGGACAACAUCUCGAAAGGGAUGCUAAUACCGCAUACGUCCUACGGGAGAAAGCAGGGGAUCACUUGUGACCUUGCGCUAAUAGAUGAGCCUAAGUCGGAUUAGAUAGUUGGUGGGGUAAAGGCCUACCAAGGCGACGAUCUGUAGCGGGUCUGAGAGGAUGAUCCGCCACACUGGGACUGAGACACGGCCCAGACUCCUACGGGAGGCAGCAGUGGGGAAUAUUGGACAAUGGGGGGAACCCUGAUCCAGCCAUGCCGCGUGUGUGAAGAAGGCCUUAUGGUUGUAAAGCACUUUAAGCGAGGAGGAGGCUCUUUUGGUUAAUACCCAAGAUGAGUGGACGUUACUCGCAGAAUAAGCACCGGCUAACUCUGUGCCAGCCGCCGCAGUAA